RNAcentral lists this long non-coding RNA (1081 nucleotides) under Equus caballus (horse). RNAcentral describes it as "lncRNA (ENSECAG00000052210.1)". The record is from RNAcentral. Lineage: Eukaryota; Metazoa; Chordata; Mammalia; Perissodactyla; Equidae.
GGAGAAUUGGCAGCAGAGGUUAGCUCAGGGCUAAUCCUCCUCAAAAACAUCAACAAAAGAAAUGAAUGAUAAUUCUUGUAGGUUGAUCCACUGACAACAGUUACUGCACCUACAGUCCACAGUGAAUGGCGGGGAGAAGUACCUGAAAGUAUCAUUCCACAAAAGCAGGUUCUUCAUAUUUUGCUCCCUGGAAAUUAUGCGAGCAUGUGACCGUGACUGAAGUGCCUAUCUGUGCAGCCUGCAGUCGAGUAGCAGGGAUGUUGGGUCAAUGUUAGUCCCUGCAGAGGUUUCAGCGGAGGAUGCUAAAAAGGCGGAGGGACCACAGUUACUUGAAUGUAAGCGCCAGAAGAUAAGGAACCUUGUCUGUCCUGUUUCCCAUGAUACACCUAGCGCCCGGAAGAACGCAUGGAAUAAAGCAACACUCAGUAUAGUUUGUGGGAUGAAUAAAUUGUUACCGGAAACGAGAAGCAGCCAGAUAGGUCAAAAUAAUUUCAAGAUUGAAAGCUUGACCAAGAUAAUCAGGUGCUGGGCGCUCAUCGGAACAAGAUGGGCAGAGUCUCCGUGGUCAUGGAUCUAGGAGAGACAAGACAAAAACACUAAGUAAACUGAAGAUGAACAAGGCAACUACAAAUUGUGGCAAAUGUCAUGAAGAAACAAGAGAGCAAGAAAGAGAAACUUUAGAAAAGGAUAAACAAGAAGUCCCCUUCUGCCAAAAUAAGACUGAAAACCAAAUAAAAAGUGCUUCUUUCACUCCGCCUUAACCUUCACUUUAUCUGAGGAGGUUCCGAAUUUCAAACAGAUGCCGUCACUCCCGAAUAGUGAUAGAUUUAGCCGAUCUGCCUUCUUCAAGUCCCAGCCUUUGUUUAAAUUGCAGGUCCUUCUAGUUGUGGCAUGUGGGACGCCGCCUCAGCGUGGCCUAAGGAGCGGUGCCAUGUCCGCACCCAGGAUCCAAACCAGCGAACCCCAGGCCACCGAAGCAUAACGUGCACACUUAACCUCUUUGCCACUGGGUGGACCCCCAAUUUCCCCACUUUCUAUUGUUAAAUUGUGUUAUGCUCUUCCUCCAAAAAACAUGUGUUUG